This 152-nucleotide unclassified non-coding RNA is filed under the name Staphylotrichum boninense. Its description in RNAcentral is "ITS2". The record is from RNAcentral. Lineage: Eukaryota; Fungi; Ascomycota; Sordariomycetes; Sordariales; Chaetomiaceae.
CAACCAUCAAGCCCCCGGGCUUGUGUUGGGGACCUGCGGCUGCCGCAGACCCCGAAAACCAGUGGCGGGCUCGCUGUCACCCCGAGCGUAGUAGUUUACACCUCGCCCAGGGCGCGACGCGGGUUCCCGGCCGUUAAACCCCCACCAUCUCA